GAAAGGUGUAAAAACGAAUGCAGUUGUG
RNAcentral lists this small RNA (28 nucleotides) under Bombyx mori (domestic silkworm). RNAcentral describes it as "ovarian small RNA-15070". Lineage: Eukaryota; Metazoa; Arthropoda; Insecta; Lepidoptera; Bombycidae. The record is from RNAcentral.